CCCUUAGAUGUUCUGGGCCGCACGCGCGCUACACUGACGAAUGCAACGAGCUUAUAACCUUGGCCGAAAGGUCUGGGUAAUCUCCAAAUUUCGUCGUGAUGGGGAUAGAUUAUUGCAAUUAUUAAUCUUCAACGAGGAAUGCCUAGUAAGCGCAAGUCAUCAGCUUGCGUUGAUUACGUCCCUGCCCUUUGUACACACCGCCCGUCGCUCCUACCGAUUGGAUGAUCCGGUGAGCUAUUCGGACUUUCGCAUUGUCGAUUUUCGGCUUUACGAGGGAAAGUCUCGCGAACCUUAUCAUCUAGAGGAAGGAGAAGUCGUAACA
RNAcentral lists this ribosomal RNA (322 nucleotides) under uncultured eukaryote. RNAcentral's name for it is "partial 18S ribosomal RNA". It matches the Rfam family "Eukaryotic small subunit ribosomal RNA", at positions 1470 to 1796 of the family's 1831-position model. The record is from RNAcentral.